AUUGAACGCUGGCGGCAUGCCUUACACAUGCAAGUCGAACGGCAGCACGGGAGCAAUCCUGGUGGCGAGUGGCGAACGGGUGAGUAAUAUAUCGGAACGUGCCCAGUAGUGGGGGGAUAACUGCUCGAAAGAGCAACUAAUACCGCAUACGACCUGAGGGUGAAAGGGGGGGAUCGCGAGACCUCUCGCUAUUGGAGCGGCCGAUAUCAGAUUAGCUAGUUGGUGGGGUAAAGGCCUACCAAGGCAACGAUCUGUAGUUGGUCUGAGAGGACGACCAGCCACACUGGGACUGAGACACGGUCCAGACUCCUACGGGAGGCAGCAGUGGGGAAUUUUGGACAAUGGGGGCAACCCUGAUCCAGCAAUGCCGCGUGAGUGAAGAAGGCCUCGGUUGUAAGACUCUUUGUCUAGGAAGAAAGGUACGUGGCGUAAUAUCACGACUGCUGACGGUACCUCGGAGAAUAAGACACCGGCUAACUACGUA
This 484-nucleotide ribosomal RNA is filed under the name uncultured bacterium. RNAcentral describes it as "bacterial SSU rRNA". It matches the Rfam family "Bacterial small subunit ribosomal RNA", at positions 30 to 507 of the family's 1533-position model. The record is from RNAcentral.